GAUGAACGCUGGCGGCGUGCCUAACACAUGCAAGUCGAGCGAGAUAAAUGUGAGUGGAGACUUCGGUCAAAGCAAUCAUUUUGAAAGCGGCGGACGGGUGAGUAACGCGUGAGCAAUCUGCCCCAUACAAAGGGAUACCCACUGGAAACGGUGAUUAAUACCUUAUAAGACCACGAAGUCGCCUGGCUUAGUGGCCAAAGAUUUAUCGGUAUGGGACGAGCUCGCGUCUGAUUAGCUAGUUGGUGAGGUAAUGGCUCACCAAGGCGACGAUCAGUAGCCGACCUGAGAGGGUGAACGGCCAAACUGGAACUGAGACACGGUCCAGACUCCUACGGGAGGCAGCAGUGGGGAAUAUUGCAAAAUGGGCGCAAGCCUGAUGCAGCAACGCCGCGUGAAUGAUGAAGGCCUUCGGGUCGUAAAGUUCUGUCCUAAGGGAAGAAUACAGUGACGGUACCUUAGGAGGAAGCCCCGGCUAACUACGUGCCAGCCGCCGCCGUAA
Molecule: ribosomal RNA, 499 nt
Filed under: uncultured bacterium
Lineage: Bacteria
Description: partial 16S ribosomal RNA
Rfam family: Bacterial small subunit ribosomal RNA
Source: RNAcentral